GCUCAGAACUCAAGGAAUUGACGGGGCCGCACAAGCGGAGGAGCAUGUGGUUAAUUCGAUGAUACGCGAGGAACCUUACCUGGGCUCGAACGUAAGAUGACUGUAGGUGAAAGCUUACAUCUCUUCGGAGCAUUUUACGAGGUGCUGCAUGGUUGUCGUCAGCUCGUGCCGUGAGGUGUCGGGUUAAGUCCCAUAACGAGCGCAACCCCUACCUUUAGUUGCCAUCAGGUUAAGCUGGGGACUCUAAAGGAACUGCCUACGCAAGUAGUGAGGAAGGCGGGGAUGACGUCAAAUCAGCACGGCCCUUACGUCCAGGGCUACACACGUGCUACAAUGGCCGAUACAGAGGGCAGCUACCUGGUGACAGGAUGCAAAUCUCCAAAGUCGGUCUCAGUUCGGAUCGGAGUCUGCAACCCGACUCCGUGAAGUUGGAUUCGCUAGUAAUCGCGCAUCAGCCAUGGCGCGGUGAAUACGUUCCCGGGCCUU
RNAcentral lists this ribosomal RNA (486 nucleotides) under uncultured Sphingobacteriales bacterium. RNAcentral describes it as "bacterial SSU rRNA". It matches the Rfam family "Bacterial small subunit ribosomal RNA", at positions 892 to 1382 of the family's 1533-position model. The record is from RNAcentral. Lineage: Bacteria; Pseudomonadati; Bacteroidota; Sphingobacteriia; Sphingobacteriales.